This 366-nucleotide transfer-messenger RNA is filed under the name Bacteroidota (CFB group bacteria). RNAcentral describes it as "UBA2353 sp017302855 Standard tmRNA". It matches the Rfam family "transfer-messenger RNA". Rfam says of the family: Bacterial tmRNA, also known as 10Sa RNA or SsrA, is named for its dual tRNA and mRNA-like properties. Its role is to liberate the mRNA from a stalled ribosome. Lineage: Bacteria; Pseudomonadati. The record is from RNAcentral. RNAcentral also lists the same sequence under 1 other name.
GGGGAUGAAUUGGUCUCGACGGGGUGAAAUGUUCUUGAGGGAGCGUGCCGAGCUACGCUGGUGGAGCUCGUAAAUACAACCGGCGAAUCUAUACCUGGCAACUCUUAUGAGUAUGCUAUGGCUGCCUAAGAACUAGGUUUAGCCAUCAUCGGUCUCAGAUGUGUUCGUUCAUUUGAACACCGGUGUCGCUUCUAACGAAAUAGUGUUAUGGUAUUUCGGUGUGCCAUGACAUGAGAUUUUCACUGAUGGCAAUAAUGCUCCUGUUGUUCGGAUACCAUUAUUGUAAGAUUUAAAUGAGCAACUGCGCACGAAGAGCCCACGGCUCAUGCAUUUCGGACGCGGGUUCGACUCCCGCCAUCUCCACUU